Molecule: ribosomal RNA, 292 nt
Filed under: uncultured bacterium
Lineage: Bacteria
Description: partial 16S ribosomal RNA
Rfam family: Bacterial small subunit ribosomal RNA
Source: RNAcentral
GUGCCAGCAGCCGCGGUAAAACGUAGGAGACGAGCGUUAUCCGGAUUUACUGGGCGUAAAGCGCGUGCAGGCGGUUCGGCAAGUUGGAUGUGAAAUCUCCCGGCUCAACUGGGAGGGGUCGUUCAAUACUACCGAACUCGAGGAUGGUAGAGGAAGGUGGAAUUCCCGGUGUAGUGGUGAAAUGCGUAGAUAUCGGGAGGAACACCAGUGGCGAAAGCGGCCUUCUGGACCAUUCCUGACGCUCAUACGCGAAAGCUAGGGGAGCGAACGGGAUUAGAUACCCCUGUAGUCC